RNAcentral lists this ribosomal RNA (957 nucleotides) under uncultured Burkholderiales bacterium. Its description in RNAcentral is "bacterial SSU rRNA". It matches the Rfam family "Bacterial small subunit ribosomal RNA", at positions 57 to 1012 of the family's 1533-position model. Lineage: Bacteria; Pseudomonadati; Pseudomonadota; Betaproteobacteria; Burkholderiales. The record is from RNAcentral.
GCAAGUCGAACGGUAGAGGGGGCAACCUCUCGAGAGUGGCGAACGGGUGAGUAAUAUAUCGGAACGUGCCCAGUCGUGGGGGAUAACGUAGCGAAAGUUACGCUAAUACCGCAUACGAUCUACGGAUGAAAGCGGGGGACUCGCAAGAGCCUCGCGCGAUUGGAGCGGCCGAUAUCAGAUUAGGUAGUUGGUGGGGUAAAGGCUCACCAAGCCAACGAUCUGUAGCUGGUCUGAGAGGACGACCAGCCACACUGGAACUGAGACACGGUCCAGACUCCUACGGGAGGCAGCAGUGGGGAAUUUUGGACAAUGGACGCAAGUCUGAUCCAGCCAUUCCGCGUGCAGGAUGAAGGCCCUCGGGUUGUAAACUGCUUUUGUACGGAACGAAAAGGUUUCCAUUAAUACUGGGAGCUCAUGACGGUACCGUAAGAAUAAGCACCGGCUAACUACGUGCCAGCAGCCGCGGUAAUACGUAGGGUGCGAGCGUUAAUCGGAAUUACUGGGCGUAAAGCGUGCGCAGGCGGUUAUACAAGACAGGCGUGAAAUCCCCGGGCUUAACCUGGGAAUGGCGCCUGUGACUGUAUAGCUAGAGUGUGUCAGAGGGGGGUAGAAUUCCACGUGUAGCAGUGAAAUGCGUAGAUAUGUGGAGGAAUACCAAUGGCGAAGGCAGCCCCCUGGGAUAACACUGACGCUCAUGCACGAAAGCGUGGGGAGCAAACAGGAUUAGAUACCCUGGUAGUCCACGCCCUAAACGAUGCUGACUAGUUGUUCGGGAUUUACAUCCUGAGUAACGUAGCUAACGCGUGAAGUCAGCCGCCUGGGGAGUACGGUCGCAAGAUUAAAACUCAAAGGAAUUGACGGGGACCCGCACAAGCGGUGGAUGAUGUGGAUUAAUUCGAUGCAACGCGAAAAACCUUACCUACCCUUGACAUGUCACUAACGAAGUAGAGAUACAUU